Molecule: long non-coding RNA, 295 nt
Organism: Psammomys obesus (fat sand rat)
Lineage: Eukaryota; Metazoa; Chordata; Mammalia; Rodentia; Muridae
Exons: 3
Source: RefSeq, a predicted model, not a curated record
CCCGUCCGUUCCUGGACACUUGAGCCCUUUCUACCUUUGGCUAUUGUGAACAGCGCUGCUGUUAGACUGUUACCAUCAGCACUGGCAAGAGGACACGACAUCUGUGCUGGCCUGAGGCCAGGCCACAUGAACGGCUGUGCACAGCUCCACCUCAUCCAGCCUGGGGCCUCAGAUACAGAAUGAUGACGGAGCCAGUCCAACCAGCUCAGGACAGCCUGGGAACCCGCCUCCUCACGUGUUCUCUCUGCAGGAUGUCCCAGUCAACCCCAGAGCCAGGAGCCAGGCGGUGGUGGUG